RNAcentral lists this ribosomal RNA (351 nucleotides) under uncultured bacterium. RNAcentral describes it as "bacterial SSU rRNA". It matches the Rfam family "Bacterial small subunit ribosomal RNA", at positions 917 to 1271 of the family's 1533-position model. The record is from RNAcentral.
GGGCCCGCACAAGCGGUGGAGCAUGUGGUUUAAUUCGAUGAUACGCGAGGAACCUUACCAGGGCUUAAAUGUAAGUUGCAUAAAUCAGAGAUGAUUUUUUCUUCGGACUACUUACAAGGUGCUGCAUGGUUGUCGUCAGCUCGUGCCGUGAGGUGUCAGGUUAAGUCCUAUAACGAGCGCAACCCCUGUCGUUAGUUGCCAUCAAGUAAUGUUGGGUACUCUAGCGAGACUGCCGGUGCAAACCGAGAGGAAGGUGGGGAUGACGUCAAAUCAUCACGGCCCUUACGUCCUGGCUACACACGUGCUACAAUGGCCGGUACAGAGAGCAGCCACUACGCGAGUAGGAGCGAA